RNAcentral lists this ribosomal RNA (253 nucleotides) under uncultured bacterium. RNAcentral's name for it is "partial 16S ribosomal RNA". It matches the Rfam family "Bacterial small subunit ribosomal RNA", at positions 524 to 776 of the family's 1533-position model. The record is from RNAcentral.
UACAGAGGUGGCAAGCGUUGUUCGGAAUUACUGGGCGUAAAGGGCGCGUAGGCGGCCUUCUUAGUCAGACGUGAAAUCCCCGGGCUUAACUCGGGAACUGCGUCUGAUACUGGAAGGCUCGAGUUCGGGAGAGGAAUGUGGAAUUCCAGGUGUAGCGGUGAAAUGCGUAGAUAUCUGGAGGAACACCGGUGGCGAAGGCGGCAUUCUGGACCGAAACUGACGCUGAUGCGCGAAAGCCAGGGGAGCAAACGGG